Molecule: ribosomal RNA, 102 nt
Organism: Saimiri boliviensis boliviensis (Bolivian squirrel monkey)
Lineage: Eukaryota; Metazoa; Chordata; Mammalia; Primates; Cebidae
Source: Ensembl
GUAUAUGGCCAUACCACCCUGAACAUGCCUGAUCUCACCUGAUCUCGUAAGCUAAGCAGGAUUGGGCUUCCUUAGUACUAGCCGGGCACAGUGGCUCAUGCC